Molecule: ribosomal RNA, 489 nt
Filed under: uncultured bacterium
Lineage: Bacteria
Description: bacterial SSU rRNA
Rfam family: Bacterial small subunit ribosomal RNA
Source: RNAcentral
AGGGUUCGAUUCUGGCUCAGGACGAACGCUGGCGGCGUGCUUAACACAUGCAAGUCGAACGGGAGUAUUGAAGAAGCUUGCUUUAGAGAUACUUUAGUGGCGGACGGGUGAGUAACGCGUGAGGAGCUGUCCUAUGCAGGGGGACAACAGCUGGAAACGGCUGCUAAUACCCCAUAAGCCGAGAGGUAAAAGGAUCAAUCCGGCAGAGGAGGUACUCGCGUCCUAUCAGCUAGUAGGUGAGGUAACGGCUCACCUAGGCGAAGACGGGUAGCCGGCCUGAGAGGGCGAACGGCCACACUGGAACUGAGAUACGGUCCAGACUCCUACGGGAGGCAGCAGUGGGGAAUAUUGGGCAAUGGGGGAAACCCUGAACCCCCAGCGACGCCGCGUGGGUGAAGAAAUCCUUCGGGAUGUAAAGCCCUGUUGUAUGGAAGAGCGGAAGACGGUACCAUACGAGGAAGCCCCGGCAAACUACGUGCCAGCAGCUGC